This is a non-coding RNA of Salvia hispanica, 1090 nucleotides long. NCBI's taxonomy places the organism in Eukaryota, Viridiplantae, Streptophyta, Magnoliopsida, Lamiales, Lamiaceae. The record is from RefSeq and is a predicted model, not a curated record.
AGAGAUAGAGAGCCGUAGCCUACUAGCAAAAUCAUCAACUCCAGAUCGGUUCACAUUAGCAGCAGCGAGAACUACGAUGGAAACAACCCCGAUGCAGCGGGGCUGAUCGGGACCACACAGGGUAAAUCAGAGCUGCCUGGUGAACCGAAGAAACGAUUGGACAGAAGUGGCGACAGGCUGCCCCGGCGGAGCAGCAACGUCCGAUCAGCAGCGGCGAUCUCAGCGGGGCGGCAACGAUCCAACAACGGUGGGCGAAUCAGCGAGCAGCAGCGGCUGUGGUGGCAGCUCAUGACGGACAGCAUCUGUGAAGACGGAGAAUUACAUGAGGCAACGAUGGCGUAAAACUGUGACAGCAACCAACGAUGCUGCAAUCUGACCGACGGAGGAGAGGAGUUGGGACAGCGAGCUUGUCUCUUGGUGACAAGGCUGAUGGGUGUUGAUCGAAGGAGGGGCAACGGCGAAGCUGCUGAACGACGAGCGGGCAGAGGCAUCAGCGGCAGAGAGGCGAUGGUUUCCGUGGUGACCACCGCGGUGGCGAAGGGCAGAUUGCGACUGCUCGGUGAUGAAGGCAGAUCGGGCAGCAGCGGUGACCGGCGGCGCCAUCAGCGGCGAUGUGGAGAGUGCAUUGCGACGAUCAGAUUGCUGAGAGAGAGAAGAAGAGAGUAAGAGGGAGAGAUGGAAGUCGUUGCACACAGUCGAGAGAGAGAGAGAGAUGUUUCUUUUUGGGGAAGAAGAGCAUUUAUUUUUUGAGAAGAGAUCAGAAUCUUCUAACUAAGAUCGAAGGGGCAAUUUUUGCAUGCUAUUUAAGAACGGAAAGGAUUGACAAGUGAAGGAUUUAAGAGAACGAGGUUGAGGGUUUAGCUGUGACGAGCGUGGUGGGUGUUGAGCAGAGCUAGUGAAGAUUUGUGUUUGCUUUUAAAUGUUCCGAAUAUAUUAUGUCUUCAUACAUAAUAUUAUUCUUCUCUCGAAUGCUUCCGCUGAAUGAUGUUUCUUUUGAGUUCGUGUAUUGUCAAGAUAGUUUCAUUUGGAGUUGUUGAUUGUUGAGAUAAUACUCUGAUUUUAUUCGAGCUAUUCCAUUUAUUUUGAGCUA